Long non-coding RNA from Ictalurus punctatus (channel catfish), 2187 nucleotides. NCBI's taxonomy places the organism in Eukaryota, Metazoa, Chordata, Actinopteri, Siluriformes, Ictaluridae. The record is from Ensembl.
UUAUAACACUGCAUUGCAUUGGUGUCGUUAACAAAAAACUGGCUAUCGCUAACAUUACAUGGAGCAUAAUAGCUGGUUUCACGGCUUCAAUGCCAGCUGCCUCAAACAAACAUAAUAUAGGACCGUCUUUCAGGUGCUUCGCCAAAUUCCAGGUGUUUCCUUGCUUUGUUUGAAAUGAACGAUAGCAUCGGUUGCCGGUGUGCUUUCCUCUUUUUACCUCUCAACAAGUCAGGGCGGAGCUAAACUUGCUAAGCUAAGCUAAACUUCUGUAGUUUUUCCCGUGUGCUUGUAGGCGUUGUUCUUCUUCUUCACCACUUUUGGACUGACUAAAACACUUGGGCCUAUUUGCUGCCCCCUUCAGUUCCGGAAGAAUUGCAACCUCAGUACCUUCAUUAUCAAGGGUACUUAUACUACUGCAGAAAAAGAAGUACCAUCACGUUUUAAGAAUGUUGGUACUGACUUGGUACCGAAGUAUCGGUUCUCGUGACAGCCCUAAUAAGGAAAACAUAUCUUAUAUUAGGACCAAUAUGGUAAUGUUGACCCCUAGAUGCGUAACAUAGCAUGGGUACCAUGUGUAGCGGUAAUUAGCAUUUCAUAGCCCCAUAAGCCAUAUUAGAAUUAGUAAUGAGUUUUAUGUUCAAUAAACAUUGACGAUCUUAGAAUUUUGAUUUACUAACUAUAUCUACAUUUCCUAUACUAACUCAAUACUAAUUUCCAAAAGAGCAUCGUGAACAGAAGUAUCCCUUGCACCCAGUGGUGGCAUGAAGUGUAGCAGAUGAUACUCCUUGUAAAUAAAUGAAAAGUUCAAAUCAUGAGAGACCAGUGAAUGAAGUAAAGAUAAUUGUUCAUUGAACAAAUGAUGGAGAUGAUCACAAACAAGCAAGCCUAUUUGGAGCAUGUGGGGUGGCUGGUGAGGUCAUCGCUUAUAACUUAAUGUCUAAUAUUUUAAAAACGUAGGGGAAGACUCAGAGCUGUUAUCUUGGCAAAGGGAGGUAGCAUACAGUAUUGACUAACAGGGUUUAAUAAUUUUGCACACCUUUAUUUAACAAAGUUUUUUUUUUUUUUGAUAAACCUGUGUUUUGUUUGCAAUUGUUUGAUAUCCAUAAGAGCAGAGGGUUUUUUGUGAAUUCUUUGAACAAAAGAUCGGUGUUAAGCAAUAAAGACAAUUUUUCAUAGCCUUCUUUGCUCAUAUUUACCAAUAUUAGUGGAGGGAACGGUACAUGUGCAAAAAAAGGUGCAUGUGCAAUGUAAACAUGGAAAAAUGUGUAUGUAUUAAUAUUUACAUUUUGUAAUCAAAUAUAAAUACUAACAAUUUGUACAUCCUGAAACUUCUAUUACAAGAAUUUUUAUUAAGCACUUAGUAGCAUCUGUCUGUUUCUGUGGUUAAAAUUUAAGUGAUAUUCUAGUGGUCAUAUAGCACUCUAUGUGGAAAAUGGGGGCUUCUCACACAUGUGUUAAAAGAACUCUUUAUUCAUUCCUGAGUUGUAGUGCAGUAUUGUAAAGUGUUACUGAUUUUUUAGUUUUAUUAGUCUGCAAUCUGAAUUAACAUCGGCAAGUCAAUGUAGCAGCAAUGUAGUAGGGAAUAAAAAUGUACUUUUACUGUUAGUCCCAGAAUCAAACUCGGUGUUUACUCAGGUAAGCUGGUUGCACACUGUGCGAUUUUUAAAAGUCCUUCGCAACUCUUGCUUGUCAGACUGUACGAACAUCAUCCCUGCUGUAAGUCAUGUCACACUGUAGGAUCUCGGUUGUCAUUAAUUUCAGACUGUAUGACAGUCAAGACACGAAAAACAGAUGCACGCAAGAAAACUCGUACGGAGUAGGAGAAGCCACACUACAGGAUGGUGCCUCAAAUCUUCUGACACUACCAGAAUUUAAUCUGAGGAAAAAUUUUAUCACUACGGCCAUUAAUUGGCUAAAAGGCUGAAAUGCAGCAUUUCAGAGCAAAACUAUGAAGGCUUAAGCACAAACUCCUCCUUUUCAGUAGUUAUUACUGCUGAGGAAUUUACUGCUUUUCAAAUAUUAAAAAUAAAUUUAAUAUCAUGCCUCUGCAUAAACAAGUGCAACUGGAAAUACAUUGGGGGUGGGGCUCAUGAAACAUGUUGGGCAAGAGAACAGAUAAACAAGCUAGUACAGUUCAGAUUAAUUAAAAGGUCCAAAUGCUGCAGGUUACAUGAAAACAAAGUAAAA